This 134-nucleotide small RNA is filed under the name Salmonella enterica subsp. enterica serovar Bietri. RNAcentral describes it as "RtT sRNA". It matches the Rfam family "RtT RNA". Rfam says of the family: This family represents a bacterial cis-regulatory element known as RtT RNA. The exact function of RtT is unknown although it is thought that it may be involved in changing the cellular response in relation to amino acid starvation. The record is from RNAcentral. Lineage: Bacteria; Pseudomonadati; Pseudomonadota; Gammaproteobacteria; Enterobacterales; Enterobacteriaceae.
UGUAUCUGAAGUCUGACGAGGAUGAGAACCUCCGGGGGCAGGAGGUUCGACUCGAGCGAAGCGAGAGAACGUUGCGUCAGCAACGGCCCGCAGGGCGAGCCACGCAGUGGCGAGUCAUCCUCUAUCACCGACCA